AUUGAACGCUGGCGGCAGGCCUAACACAUGCAAGUCGAGCGGAUGAAGGGAGCUUGCUCCUGGAUUCAGCGGCGGACGGGUGAGUAAUGCCUAGGAAUCUGCCUGGUAGUGGGGGAUAACGUCCGGAAACGGGCGCUAAUACCGCAUACGUCCUGAGGGAGAAAGUGGGGGAUCGUCGGACCUCACGCUAUCAGAUGAGCCUAGGUCGGAUUAGCUAGUUGGUGGGGUAAAGGCCUACCAAGGCGGCGAUCCGGAACUGGUCUGAGAGGAUGAUCAGUCACACUGGAACUGGGACACGGUCCAGGGUCCUACGGGAGGCAGCAGUGGGGAAUAUUGGACAAUAGGCGAAAGCCUGAUCCAGCCAUGCCGCGUGUGUGAAGAAGGUCUUCGGAUUGUAAAGCACUUUAAGUUGGGAGGAAGGGCAGCAAGUUAAUACCUUGCUGUUUUGACGUUACCAACAGAAUAAGCACCGGCUAACUUCGUG
Molecule: ribosomal RNA, 484 nt
Filed under: uncultured bacterium
Lineage: Bacteria
Description: partial 16S ribosomal RNA
Rfam family: Bacterial small subunit ribosomal RNA
Source: RNAcentral